This 3267-nucleotide ribosomal RNA is filed under the name Triticum aestivum (bread wheat). RNAcentral describes it as "partial small subunit ribosomal RNA". The record is from RNAcentral. Lineage: Eukaryota; Viridiplantae; Streptophyta; Magnoliopsida; Poales; Poaceae.
AUGACGGUACCGGAGGCGGUGGCACUAGACAUACCGGCGGAAGAGGGUUCGCCGGUGGCCAGGGUGCCGCGGCGGAUCAGGAGGAGGCUCCUCCAGGCGCGUGAGUCAAGCGCCGACGCGCCGGCAACCGCCGAAGAGAUCGAGAGCAAGCUCCGCGACGCCCAACUCCGGAGGCAGCAAUUCCAUGAAACAUUAUCAUGCAAAGCAAGACAUGCGGUCAGGAGCACUUCACAGCCAUCUCAGGAGGAUCCCAAGCAACGCCUUGAAGCGAAGCUUGUGGCUGCUAAGCAGAAGAGGUUGAGCCUCUUGGAGAAAGAGCAGAAUCGUUUAGCUAAAUCGGAUGAGCUGCGUCAGGCUGCUAAGAAGGAUGCAGAAAUGAGGUUCAACAGGGAAAGGAAGGAGCUUGGCAUGAGAGUUGAGCAUCGGGUACAGCAAGCGGAGGAGAACCGUAUUCAACUCUUGCAUGCUCGUUUGCAGAGGCGAGCUGCGCUGGAGGAAAGGACAAAAAAGUUCUUUGGGCAAAGAGUGACAUCAGAGAAUAAGUACAGGGAGACAACAGCGGUGUUGGCUGCGGCCUUUGACGUGCUGGGAAUAAAUCAGGAAUCUGCUAAUUCUCUGCCAUUUGAAAAACUAGCCCUCUGUAUUGAAUCUACAAAAGUUCUUCAGACCACCAGGGCAUUGCUUGAUUGCUUGGAGAGUCGUUUUAUUCUUUCUCAGACAUCAAGUUCAUGCACACCAGAAAAUAUCGAUCAUCUGCUCAAGCACCUGGGAUCACCAAAUACGAGAAUCCUACCAAGUAGUGCAGCAAGAGCUAGAGUAACACCGAAAAGGACAACUAAAAAUUCUGACGCUGGCAAGUUACCUAGAUAUUCACCAAGGGUAGUGCUUUGUGCUUACAUGAUUCUAGGUCAUCCAGGCGCUGUUUUUAAUGUACAAGGCGAGCGAGAGAAACUACUUGUGGAGUCAGCAACAAACUUUGUGAAGGAAUUUGAACUGCUGAUGAAGACAAUACUUGAUGGGUUAGAUGGUGCAUGCAUAUUGCAGCAGUCUACAUUAGGUGCAGUCUCUCCUGGAUCUUCUAAUAACCAGGAGUGUUCUUCAAUUGCUGCAGAUCAAACAAAAUUCAGAUCUCAGCUGGCUUCUUUUGAUAAAGCUUGGUGUGCUUAUCUUUACCACUUUGUGGUGUGGAAAGCAAAAGAUGCCAAGUCGCUAGAGGUAGAUCUCGUGACAGCUGCAUGCAAGCUUGAGCUCUCAAUGAUGCAAACAUGCAAAGUAACUACUGAAGGCCGGUCAGAUAGCCUUAAUUAUACUAAUAUUAAUUCGACAGCCAUCCAGAAACAGGUUAUGGUAGACCAGAAACUUCUAAGGGAGAAGGUUUGGCACCUAGGUGGUGAAGCUGGUAUUGAGAGGAUGGAACUUGCUUUAUCAGAAACAAGGUCAAAGUUCAUUGGAGCCAAGGAAAAUAGGAGCCCCUUGGCAACAUCAGAUGCAAAUGUCGCAUCUCUUUCUGGACAGUCUCUUCUUUCUGACACCAAAGAUAAUUUGGGUACAGAUGGUGAAAGGCUAGGUAGAGUUGUUCAAUCUUUGUCCAAAGCUUCUUCUUCAACGUCUCAAAGUAACAUUAGAGACAACGGUGGUCAAAUGAGCAGCACAGGGUCAGGAGAGCUGCCAACAGAGAAUGAGCUUGUCGGAUAUUUGUUGAAAGCUUCCCCUUCACCAUCUGAAAGUAACUCAGGAGACAAGGUCAUCAGCAGCCAAAUGAGCAGAGCGGUGCCAGAAAAGCUGCCAACAGAGAAUGAACAAAUGGUCAAUGAGAUUUUGCAUGGUUCUUUUUCUGAUAGCUCUGAUGACGUUGGUAAAGUUGAGGGGGAUUUCAAGGCACAAGUUAGGGAAACAAUGGAGAAAGCUUUCUGGGAUGUGGUUGUGGAUUCAAUGAAAGGAGACACACCAGAUUACAGUUAUCUGGUCAACCUAGUAAAGGAAGUCAGGGAUGCAUUGCAGCAGAUGGCUAGUAAAGGGUGGAAAGAAGAAAUAGCAAACAAUAUUAACAUCGAAAUAUUGUCCCAGGUACUUGAGUCGAGCACCCAGGGCACACAAUAUUUGGGGCAGAUUCUGCAGUACUCUCUGGGCAUGCUGCGUAAAUUAUCUUCUCCUGCAAAGGAAGACGAAAUGAAGAUCAGUCAUGACAAAUUAUUGAACGAAUUGAUCGGACACUCUGAUUCUCAUGAUAGAGAUCCAAAUGCAUUUGUAAUAGCUGUCAUCAAGGGCUUGCGGUUCACUAUGGAAGAGUUAAAGGCUCUUCAGUCUGAAGUCAGUAGAGCACGAAUCCAACUACUGAAACCAAUUAUAAAGGGCUCAGGUGGGGUCGAGUACCUGCAGAAAGCUUUUGCCGAUCGCUAUGGAUCCCGUUCCAAUGCAUUAGUUUCUCUCACUUCAACUAUUCAGUGGAUUUCUACCUCAAAGGAUAUGGUAGAAGAAGAAUGGAAUGAACAUGUCAGCUCCUUACAGAUCCUGCCUGCAUCAGACCAUGUUCAGCCAUUGGUUACGACCCUCCGAGCUGGUCGUGGAACUCCAGAUCAGCAACAAUCUACAGUGCCUGUAGCAGGAAGUACAGAGAUACUACCAGAGUGCUCGGGAGAAAUGCUCGACAGGCUAGUAAGGAUUGGGCUGUUACAGCUUAUCAGCAGGAUGGAGGGCAUGGAAAGAAAAUCAGUACCUGAGACAUUUAAGCUCAAUUGGUUGAGGUUGCGUGGUGUCCAGAGUCAGUUCCAACAAGUGAUUGUUAUCGCAACAAGCAUGCUUGUCCAGCGUCAAGUAUUGAUGAGUGAGGACUCAAAGGCCACUUCCUCAGAACUGGAAAAUGUUACCUUGGAACUGUUCAACACGCUCGCAGAGCUAUUAGACAGUUUUUCUGAUGUUGGCACGGAUCAGAUCAUCGAGGUGAUGGUCCGUUCGUCGACCUCGGCCGGCCCUUGUUCGGAUGAAAUGGUUGAGAACAGGAAGCAGAUAUUGAGCAGGGUCUUCCUCAAAAGCCUCCAGACUGAUGACACUGUCUUCAGGAAGGUGUCUCGAUCUGUUUACUGCGCGUUCCGUGCAGUCGCCCUGGGUGGCAACGGGACGAAGGGCAGGAAACUCGCCGAGGCGGCCCUGGGGCGCAUCGGAGCGACAAAGUUGACCGACCGCGUAGUGAAGGCAGCGGAAGUGCUGAUCAGAGUAGCAACAAUAUCAGAGCAGGUUCAUGGCCCGUGGUACAGUCAUCUCCUGUAA